RNAcentral lists this ribosomal RNA (465 nucleotides) under Vreelandella stevensii. RNAcentral's name for it is "partial 16S ribosomal RNA". It matches the Rfam family "Bacterial small subunit ribosomal RNA", at positions 338 to 795 of the family's 1533-position model. Lineage: Bacteria; Pseudomonadati; Pseudomonadota; Gammaproteobacteria; Oceanospirillales; Halomonadaceae. The record is from RNAcentral.
CCUACGGGGCGCAGCAGUGGGGAAUAUUGGACAAUGGGCGAAAGCCUGAUCCAGCCAUGCCGCGUGUGUGAAGAAGGCCUUCGGGUUGUAAAGCACUUUCAGUGGGGAAGAAAGCCUUGGGGCUAAUACCCUCGAGGAAGGACAUCACCCACAGAAGAAGCACCGGCUAACUCCGUGCCAGCAGCCGCGGUAAUACGGAGGGUGCGAGCGUUAAUCGGAAUUACUGGGCGUAAAGCGCGCGUAGGCGGUCUGAUAAGCCGGUUGUGAAAGCCCCGGGCUCAACCUGGGAACGGCAUCCGGAACCGUCAGGCUAGAGUGCAGGAGAGGAAGGUAGAAUUCCCGGUGUAGCGGUGAAAUGCGUAGAGAUCGGGAGGAAUACCAGUGGCGAAGGCGGCCUUCUGGACUGACACUGACGCUGAGGUGCGAAAGCGUGGGUAGCAAACAGGAUUAGAUACCCGAGUAGUC